AAGAGGCUCCCUAGCGGGCGUUUCCUCCCUGACUGGCGGGCCACUCCUUUUUGGACUGGCCCGCAUUUUUGCGGCAG
This 77-nucleotide small RNA is filed under the name Bradyrhizobium sp. WSM1253. Its description in RNAcentral is "suhB". Lineage: Bacteria; Pseudomonadati; Pseudomonadota; Alphaproteobacteria; Hyphomicrobiales; Nitrobacteraceae. The record is from RNAcentral.